RNAcentral lists this ribosomal RNA (492 nucleotides) under uncultured bacterium. Its description in RNAcentral is "partial 16S ribosomal RNA". It matches the Rfam family "Bacterial small subunit ribosomal RNA", at positions 29 to 507 of the family's 1533-position model. The record is from RNAcentral.
AGUGAACGCUGGCGGUAGGCCUAACACAUGCAAGUCGAACGGCAGCACAGUAAGAGCUUGCUCUUACGGGUGGCGAGUGGCGGACGGGUGAGGAGUACAUCGGAACCUACUUUUUCGUGGGGGAUAACGUAGGGAAACUUACGCUAAUACCGCAUACGACCUACGGGUGAAAGCAGGGGAUCUUCGGACCUUGCGCGAUUGAAUGAGCCGAUGUCGGAUUAGCUAGUUGGCGGGGUAAAGGCCUACCAAGGCGACGAUCCGUAGCUGGUCUGAGAGGAUGAUCAGCCACACUGGAACUGAGACACGGUCCAGACUCCUACGGGAGGCAGCAGUGGGGAAUAUUGGACAAUGGGCGCAAGCCUGAUCCAGCCAUACCGCGUGGGUGAAGAAGGCCUUCGGGUUGUAAAGCCCUUUUGUUGGGAAAGAAAAGCAGCAGGUUAAUACCCCGCUGUUCUGACGGUACCCAAAGAAUAAGCACCGGCUAACUUCGUG